AUGCCUUCUUCAAGAUCCAAAGUUGAUAGCACCAUGACUGGGACUACUAUAUCUUUUGGAUGGAGCUAAUGAAAGCAAUGCUGAAGUGAGCAAAUGCAAGAAGGCCAGGCUAGUAUACUACUGGGGGUCAGUAUACUACUGGGGAUCAGUACACUACUAAGGGUCAGUAUACUACUGGGGCUAGUAUACUACUGGAGGUCAAU
This 203-nucleotide long non-coding RNA is filed under the name Rosa chinensis. RNAcentral's name for it is "sRNA RchiOBHm_Chr4g0413801". Lineage: Eukaryota; Viridiplantae; Streptophyta; Magnoliopsida; Rosales; Rosaceae. The record is from RNAcentral.